Mustela lutreola (European mink) is the source of this 574-nucleotide long non-coding RNA. RefSeq lists it as uncharacterized. The record is from RefSeq and is a predicted model, not a curated record. The transcript is spliced from 3 exons. Lineage: Eukaryota; Metazoa; Chordata; Mammalia; Carnivora; Mustelidae.
CAGGAAACCACUGAUCGGCACCAUCACGAUGGUUUAUCUCAUCCCUAGAAUGGGAUAUAAGUGGAAUUGUAGAAAAUUCGGUGGACCUCAGGGCUCCUUCCACUGUUUGGCGAUUGUGGACAUUGCUGCUAUAAACACUGGGGGAGAAGGUCUAGCAGCCUGGGAGGGCAGCAUCUGGAAGGAAAAUGAGAUCAACUACGGAGCAUGCUGCAGGGCCGGGGAAAGGCCACACUAACCGGCUCCAUACACGCCCCUGGAGCAAGGGGCCUCUGCCUGGCACCCCAAGCCUAGCGCGCUGCUCUAACUUUCCCAGCGUCCUGAAGGUGCCACGUCACGGCAGCUUUUGCGACUGCAGAUGCGUUCCCCACACUGUGCUGGGAAAUCCCACCCUGCCACCCUCUCUGCUCCCAUUGGAGUUUCCCUCCACAAAGUGCUGGCUUCCUGUGUCCAAGGAGAGGGGCCCUGCCUCGGUCCUCAAGCUGGCCCUACACUCAUGCCCACAAAGUCCUCUUACUCCCUGACCUCUCCUCAUCGGAGGAAGUAGAAUCCUCUCUUUGCACUGGUUCCUUCUGUC